GAUGAACGCUGGCGGCGUGCCUAAUACAUGCAAGUCGAGCGAACAGACGAGGAGCUUGCUCCUCUGACGUUAGCGGCGGACGGGUGAGUAACACGUGGAUAACCUACCUAUAAGACUGGGAUAACUUCGGGAAACCGGAGCUAAUACCGGAUAAUAUAUUGAACCGCAUGGUUCAAUAGUGAAAGACGGUUUUGCUGUCACUUAUAGAUGGAUCCGCGCCGCAUUAGCUAGUUGGUAAGGUAACGGCUUACCAAGGCAACGAUGCGUAGCCGACCUGAGAGGGUGAUCGGCCACACUGGAACUGAGACACGGUUCAGACUCCUACGGGAGGCAGCAGUAGGGAAUCUUCCGCAAUGGGCGAAAGCCUGACGGAGCAACGCCGCGUGAGUGAUGAAGGUCUUCGGAUCGUAAAACUCUGUUAUUAGGGAAGAACAAAUGUGUAAGUAACUAUGCACGUCUUGACGGUACCUAAUCAGAAAGCCACGGCUAACUACGUG
RNAcentral lists this ribosomal RNA (497 nucleotides) under uncultured bacterium. RNAcentral's name for it is "partial 16S ribosomal RNA". It matches the Rfam family "Bacterial small subunit ribosomal RNA", at positions 28 to 507 of the family's 1533-position model. The record is from RNAcentral.